Molecule: non-coding RNA, 71 nt
Organism: Potamilus streckersoni
Lineage: Eukaryota; Metazoa; Mollusca; Bivalvia; Unionida; Unionidae
Source: the annotation of a GenBank genome assembly
GCUCAGGUGGUCUAGUGGUUAGAGCGUCCGCCUCGGAUGCGGGAGGUCGUGGGUUCGAAACCGGCUGAGCC